Molecule: ribosomal RNA, 1330 nt
Filed under: metagenome
Description: bacterial LSU rRNA
Rfam family: Bacterial large subunit ribosomal RNA
Source: RNAcentral
CCGUUGGUGGGUUAAUUGCCUAGAAAAGAUUUUUCAUAUGUCUUACUCGCCCGUACCGUAAACCGACACAGGUGGGUGAGUGUAAAUGCACUAAGGCGCGCGAGAGAGACCUCUCUAAGGAACUCGGCACAUUAGCCUCGUAACUUCGGGAAAAGAGGUGCUCACUUCGGUGAGCCACAGUAAAUUGCGUUUAGCGACUGUUUAACAAAAACACAGCACUCUGCUAAGUCGUUAAGACGACGUAUAGGGUGUGACACGUGACCAAUGCGGAAAGAUUAAGGCAUUUUGUUAGCCGCAAGGCGAAGCUCGGUGCCAAAGUCCCCGUGAAUGUCGGCCGUAACUAUAACGGUCCUAAGGUAGCGAAAUUCCUUGUCGGGUAAGUUCCGACCUGCACGAAUCGUGUAACGACUGAACGACUGUCUCGGAGAGGAUCUCGGCGAAACUGUAACUGCGGUGAAGAUGCCGCAUGCCCGCAGUAGGACGGAAAGACCCUAUGCACCUUUACUGUAAGCUGGUAUUGUGUUCUGAUUAAUAAUGCGUAGCGUAGGUGGGAGGCUUUGAAGUGAGUGCUUCGGUGCUCAUGGAGCCGCAAUGUGAAACACCACUCUUUGCUAAUUAGGAUUCUAACCUCGAUUCCUGUCAACCAGGCGAGGGACAGUGCUUGCGGGUCAGUUUGACUGGGGCGGUUUCCUCCCAAAGAGUAACGGAGGAGCGCGAAGCUUGGCUCAGCACGGUUGGCAACCGUGCGUCGAGCGUAUGGGUAUAAGCCAGGUUAACUGUGAGACCUACAAGUCGAGCAGAUGCGAAAGCAGGCCCAAAUGAUCCGAUGGUUUAAUGUGGAAUUGCCAUCGCUCAACGGACAAAAGGUACGCUAGGGAUAACAGGCUGAUCGGUUCCAAGAGUUCACAUCGACGAACCGGUUUGGCACCUCGAUGUCGGCUCAUCGCAUCCUGGGGCUGGAGAAGGUCCCAAGGGUCCGGCUGUUCGCCGGUUAAAGCGGUACGCGAGCUGGGUUCAGAACGUCGUGAGACAGUUCGGUCCUUAUCCACUGUGGGCGCAGGAAUCUUGAGGGGUUCAUUCUCUAGUACGAGAGGACCGAGAAUGACGCACUUCUGGUGUGGCAGUUGUUCCAUCAGGGGCAUCGCUGCGUAGCCAUGUGCGGAAGAGAUAAGCGCUGAAAGCAUCUAAGUGCCAAGCUCAUCCCAAGAUAUGGAUUCCCGGACGCAAGUCCCUAAAGACCCCCGGCAGACUACCGGGUUGAUAGGUCAGGCAUGUAAGCGUCGCGAGAUGUUUAGUGGACUGAUACUAAUUGGUCGUGCGGCUUGAUCGC